This is a long non-coding RNA of Corvus hawaiiensis (hawaiian crow), 8025 nucleotides long. RefSeq lists it as uncharacterized. NCBI's taxonomy places the organism in Eukaryota, Metazoa, Chordata, Aves, Passeriformes, Corvidae. The transcript has 8 exons. The record is from RefSeq and is a predicted model, not a curated record.
CUCUCUUUCUCUCCUUGUCUUUUUGUCUCUUUAUGUCUAUUGCAUUAUGCCUGAAUAAUUUUCAGUCUUUUUUUUCCUCCCCUCUUGCACGCACAUGCUAAAAUAACUAGACAAAGAUGCAAGGUGGUUGCUGCAGUCCCUGUCUCUAGGACAAAACCAAGAAAGCUUGUGAUUGCAAUGCCACCUUUCCUUUUUUUUUUUUUUCCUUUUCUUCUUUUUUUUCUUUCCCAGCCAUGCUUGGUGAUUAAACUUCCUCAGGAUGGGGAAGAAAAAGGAGCUGGGAAUGAAAUAGGGUUGAGGAAAUAUCCCAUUGCAGCAGCUGCAGCCAGUGGUGUCUGCUGCCAGAUGUGCGAAGGUUCCUGGGGUCCUUGUCACUAAAAGGCAGUAUUCAAAUAUUUGGAGACAAAAGCUGCAUCCUCAGUGAUCAUUUUCUUUAUUUAACAUGGCAGCAGGCAUCGUGUGGGAAAAAAUCAACACGCUGGAUGUUGAAUCGGACUUUUCUCCUUUCUGGGAUGAAAGGAUGUUAUCUAUCCCGUGCCAAGAGGGAACUGAGGUGCAGGGGGAGGGGAAGAAAGUCUUCAAAACUAGCCCGCCAUGAGCAAUGAACAUAUGGCUGUUGCUAUCAGCACUGGUGUAUUUGCGGCGAUGCCUAUCAACAUCCACCAGAGAGCAGGGCAGCUCCAAAACCCACAUCUUUUAUGCUGUGGAAAUUGAUGGAGACAGCAACCAGCCAGCUUCUUGGCCAAACAACAUGGAAUGCAGUUCAUUUCAAAGGUACUGGUUUCUUAGCCUGUAAGGCUUGUGCAUGAUGUCUAUGAGAGCAAUUUCCAGCAGAGCAAAGCCUUAUCACAGAUCCACCUAAAAGCCUUAUCUUACAGAACAGUGACAAAUGACAGCUUCAUGGAAGGUGAAGUGGGUGAAUAUCAGGCAGCUCAUUAUAGAGACAUGCACGCUGCAUUCCCAAAGUAGGAUGACAGAACAAGUCAUGGGCAGUCCUCACCCCAUUUGUGCCACUUUUUUAAACACAGGAGCAUUUUUCAGGCAUUAAUCAGCAAGAAGAUAGGGGGAACCAAUCUCUGAAGAUUGCUCCAAACGGAACACAUUUUAUAAAGGGAAAUAGGUUCAUUCCAAGAACAGAAUAAAAGGUGGAUAAGAGUCAUGGAUGUUAAAGGAGACAUUACUCAGGCUGUUGUGAAAGAUCUGAUACCAGAUUCGGUCAAAGGGGACGAGUGUCAUCCUGAGAGUGCUCCUCUCUGGGACAGGAAACCGACGGAGCGAAGCCCUGAGAACAUGCUGCGACACUUCAUAUUCAAUCCACAGCCCUAUAGAGAGAUGAAAAAUGAGCCUUGUCCAAAGCUCUUACCUCAGCACCCAGUGGCAAAAAUAAAACGUGAGCUUGGGACCAGGUCUCUUUGAAGCUGAUUUUUUCUAUUUUUUUUUAAACUCUCCAACAGACCUCUGGUGGUUACAGGUAUUGAUUGUCAGAAAGUAAUCUGUUCAGGUUUGGGGGCAUGCCAGCCCGAAUCCUGGAGUACGUUCCUUACUCUCCAAGGACACAUUGAGCUUUUUAUACUGUCCACAGUGGCAUGCUUGUCAGCUGUCUAGCUUCUUUGUCUCUACUGCUCUCCCUGUUUGUGGAAAGCAUAUAAUUAAACCUCCCUUCUACAAAUAUUACACAUUACUACUCUAGAAUUUUCUGCCAGUGCUGAUGGUUUUUUACCCCAUUUUUUAACCCUCAUUUUUCUUCUGUAAUCAUUAUUUGAUUCCCUCUGGCUGUCUGCUACUUAUUUGUAGUAGUACCAUUCAUCCAUUGAGACUUUUCCAUCUGUCACACAGUUUUGCUUUCUCUCCCCAGAAGUUUUCUUCUCCUACUGUGCCAUGCUUGAUUUUUUGGGUUGAGUUGCAUGUUUGUAUGCUCUUUUUUGUAUUUUUAAAAAUGUUUCAGUAUUCAGAACAAAUACAACAAGAAGAGAAAAAAACCCCCAACAUAGCAAAGAGCAGCUCAAAUUCAACAUUACACACAGAGACAGGAUGAGGAGACUGAGAUUCCUGGUGAAUUAAGGAAUCAACAAAUAUAGCCAGGGCAGAAGUACUGGCCAGACCUUGCUCUCUCUGAAUGGUUUCCAUUUCCUUCAAAAUCUUUCCCGUUUUGUGCUAGAUAAAUAGGUUAUGUCAGGAAAUGUUGCAUUCCCUCUGCUGUACUCCCUUUGCUGUAUUGAUUAUAAAGACUAUCUGAGGAAAACCAAACAUACUGAGGUACAACACUGUGAUUACUUAAAGAAAAGAAUGUUUUAAAGUGCCAAACAGUCCCUUACUAAAACAAGAUCGUGGUCAUAGCCUUCAUUUAAAAUUCGAUGAGCAUUUUUUGUUUGCAGAGGUUAGAUAUUAAAGAAAUGCAGCACUUGUUAGUGUUUCCCAGGUGAAAUACAGGAUGGGCUAAAGCCAGCAGCAUAACCCUUCAGAAUUAUUGUUUUUUCUCCGUGUAUUUUCAACCCCUAUUAUGGUCUAAAUGGGGAGUGUGUCAAGAAAAUCUUGGUUUUUGAUGUGAGCAAGAAUAGGAGAUUUUACAGCUGCUCUACAGAUCACUUGCAAUUGAAUCAAAUCUCAAAUCUUUAGCCUUGGAGGACAACUCACAAAAUUACCUGCUUCCAAUAAUACAUUUUCAAUAACUCUUUAUUAAUGCUCUCUUCUUUUCCUCUUACACUUCUCAUUCUAUCUUCUUAUGCUCUUGUUUCAAAAGUUCCUGCAAGUUUAUCACGAUUGUUAGGAUUAGUAAAAAGUAUGUGUUGUGUUUUGAAAAAUCUUUUUUCUCAGUAGAAAUGCUUCCAUUGUUUAUAAAAUUGCUUCUCUGGCUAUAUAGAAAGUGCUGAUAGUCUCCAAGCAAACACAAAAGCUGUGAGCGUGUCCUUAUUUGAAUGGCGAUGCCCAGAAAGUUUCCUUUGCUACCAGCUACUUCACUGCACUGUUCUUAGAAUGAAGUGGGUGGAAAAAAAAAUCAUCAGAAUCUUCAUUAUGCACUUGUAUGGGCAAAUGUCUGAAAAUGUAGGUAUUUUACAAAAAUCCUAUUUAUAAAGUGUCAUCCCGUGAAAGGGUCAUUCGGACCCAGCUUUUACUUUACCUGAACUUUUACGGUGUUUUGCAAAGGAAAAUAAAUGGUUCCUUUUCUGAAAUAAAUUAUGAAAAUAAAAUUUAAGAAAAUGAGUGAAAACACAAAAGGGGAAGGAAUGUGAGAGAGACAAACAGCUCCUACAGUCCCUCCUGACCACUGAAAACUUUUCUGUUUCUUUUCAAGAAUAAAGGAUUAAAAAAAUAACAAGGGUGAAAGUGUUUUUCUGCAUGUGUGUGUGUAACCACAAUUUGAUGGUCCCACUGUAGGAUCAAUGUACACCUACAUCACUGAAGUUUAUCCUGCCUGCUCUGGAAGACCCUCAGUGGGUGAAGUUUCACUGUUGCACAGGGAAGCUAGUCCAGUGCUUUAUUAAAACCACUUUUUCUUUCGGAAACUUAGGUCUAUUACUUCUUUUUAUUUUACCCAGAAUGGAUUAAGCAAAUCUAUAAUUAUCUUCUACACCGUAGCCAUUGCUCAAAUGCCUCCUUCCAUUUUCUUUCAUUUAAGGUUAAACAGGCACAGUUCCUUCAGGCUUUCCUCACAGGCUUGAUGAUUUACAUUUGACUCCUGCUGAUCCACUUCUUUCCAACAUGAGGGCUCAGAGGUACAUGCAAACCUUCAGAUGACACUUCCUGGGCUGCACAGAUGGAUUAUUUCAUCUGCCUUGCAGAUGUUGGUAGGUUUUCUUCUUGUAGCCUCAUCACAUUCUUUGACACCUUUUUGAGGCUAAUCUUAAAUUUCUAUUCCUUUGUUUGUGUAUACUGCAAAAUAAAGUAAAUUUGGAUGGCAGUAUGAUGAAAGAAGUAGGGCAGGGACCUUACAGCUGUGAAACCCAAAACCAACACAGCUGGUGGAUGUGGUAAACCAAACAAAUGGCCUACAUGGUUAACUGAGUUAGUUUUUGGUAGUCCUGUGAGGAGCAGGUGGUUGGAUUCUCCGAUCCCUUGCAAGUCCAGAUAUCCUGUUCUGUUCUGUGGACCUAUGAGGGGAUGCUAACACCAGUGGGAAUCUCUACAUGUGGAGGAACACAUUCUCAUAACCUCUGAGAGUCAGGAGCUUGGUGCGACAGGCUUGCUAUUGGUCCUGUUCUGAAAGUGUUUAAUUCCCAUAUAUGUAAACUUAAUGAAAUGGAGAGGACAAAGGAGUAGAGAGGGAUUGUUGCUUAGCCUAGGAAAUCUGUAGCACAGGAUGCAGGAAUUUCACUAUGCUCUGGGCUUCUAUCGUCUUGGCAGGAAUAGAAAAAAAAAUAAAGUGAAUACUGCACCCCAAAUAGUUGAACAAUUUUUUUUUAAUUUUUUUUUUUUAAUACAACAUUUAAAAAUUCUAAAUCUACAGUAAUACCUAAAAGUGACCCAGGUGGUAAAAGUAGUCUUCAGGGAAGAGUCUGGACACAAGAAGGUCUGUAGAUAUCUUCAAGGGUAUGGUCAAGUAGGCUGUUUUUCAUGUGAGGCAGUUAUUUCUAAGUUACUAUUUUUCAGUAGGAUUGUGUACAAUCCUUUGUGUACAGUACUAAUCUGAAAAUCGUGUUCUGUCUUUGUGGCCAAUACUUUCUGUCUUUUUCUUUUGCAAUAAACUAGAGUGGCUCUACCUAUUAAUUGAAGAUUUUCUUUUAAAGCCACUGCCUGUUUUUCCCUUCCUUCCUGCUUCAUGCCAUCACUUUAAGAUUUCAGAGCCAUAGACCAGAGUGCUUGUGUUAAAUGAAUAUAUUUGACAGGAGUUAAGUCUUUUGGGCAUUGCAAUAGGUUUUCCUCAUCUUGGCAUGUGAAGACUGAGAGUGUUCUUUGACACCAGCAGCAGAGGAUGUGAGCACAGCAACUUUCAGGGCAUCAGAAGUGUCAGCACAAGGAAAAAUCAGCAAAAGUAGACAGUGUUGAGGUAAUUUUCCCACACCAUGCCAUGAAUUUUGCCAACUGGUGCUCCUGUGAGUUCUGGGCUGACAGAGUUUCCUUCUUUGUUGCUAAAUAUCACAUAAAGUGUUCUGUCAGCAUCAAGACUUGUUCACUCCCCUUAUGUAGUAAAAUAAAAAUAUAAUCCUUAUGCCCAUGUUUGAAAUUUGAGCAUAAGUUAAAGAGAAGCAAAAAAAUAAAAAAAGAGUAAACCUUUCCAACAGGCCAAAACUGCAUUUUGGAGGUUCAUUUUUCAGAACAUCAUGUAGUCAAUGCUGUCAAGAAGAGUUGAAGGCGAAAGAUAUGUAGGGCACAAGUACUAAAAAUUGAAAAUCUUACUCCCAUUAAAAUGCAUGGGAUUUCUGCCAGUUGCCAUAGACAUCAGUGGCAGCAACAUCCUGCUAUUUUUUUCUGUUUUUACUUUCUGCUUUCCACAUCUUUUUAUUUAUUUUUGAAUCCCGAGAAAAUGAAGUAAAACACACCAGGGUUUCCAGGGUGUAUAUCAGAGAUUUACUGAUGUUUUUAGGAUUAAAAUUAUUUAAUUAUGUUCCAGAUUUCAUAGUGAUGAUUAGAACCUAUGGUCAGGAAGAAUUAUAGUGACACUUAGGUUAGAGACAUCUGAUCUUAUGAGUACUGAUAAUAUGGUUAUUGGUCUGAAUUUUGCUGCACCCAGCUGGGAAUUAGCUAAGGUACUUAAGGGCAAAAGUGAAAGGCUGGGCUCUCUUUCUGUGUGGCACAAACAUCAGAUGAGAAAGUGAAAGCUCUGAAUCACGAGAGAGCUUCCAAUUUUAGCAUGGCUUUGAAAAGGAAGAUUUCUGCACCUGAAGAGUUUUGCAUAUAUGCAUUACUGACAAUGUAUGACUGCACAUUUUUUUGCACAGUAUCAUUUCUUCUGUUUUUAUUGUUCUAUUUCAAAUUUCUAGCUUCUUUAGUAGUGGUAUUUUUCAUGUAAUCUGGAUCCAAUAUCAUUGCUCUUAUAUAUGCCAUGACCUUAAAAUGACGGGAACCACUGCAAAAAAGGGCUGCAAAAGUUGGUCUUUGAAGCUAUUUCCUCUCCCUUUCAGUGUCCCAUAAAUGUCUCCAAGUCAGAAUCACCGCUUCUUCUUUUCCUGCUUCAGCAGCUGAGAUGCUUAGAGAGGUUGUCCUGCACCCUCCAUCCCAGCCACUGCCCAUGGGACAGAUAGAUGCCCAGAAGUUUCCUCUCUGUCAGGAUUUGUCACUGCCACUUGCCAAGAGCAAAAUGCGGGUGCUAGGUUUAGGAAUCCAGAUAUUGGCAAUAACGUGGCUGUCUUCCUUGUAAACUUCUGAGUGGCUAUUUCUAUAAAUAUAUCUCAUUUUUUUAGGACUUUACUUGGGAAAAGUAUUGACUGAAAAGUGUCAAGAAACACAAAGAUUUUGACUGUACUCAAAGCAGUAAAGGUUCAUAGUUGGGAAUAACUUUAACCAGUAUGGAAAAAAGCCUCUUAGUGUAUUUUUCUCAGGUGUCUGACAAUUGUUUAGAUAUCAAUCUUUGACACUUGUAUUUAUCAAAAUACAGAGUGUCCUCCUAUAACCAAAGAGGGAUUCUGUGUUUCCUGUCUCACUCCUCUUUCAGUGAGGAAAAAGUGCUAUUCUGCAACUCUCAUAUAAAUGGAUUAAUUUAAACUCAAAAUGUUAUAUAGCUUCUUUCCCUUUAGGUGUUAAUAGUUUUAUGUUAAAAAAAAAAAAGGCUUUAAAAAUAUCUUCUUGUCCUUUUGACCUCUAAUAAAAAUGUCAUGAUUUUUCUCAGCAUUUUAGUUAAAAAUAUGAAGUCAAAUGGAUUUAUUGUGUGAAUUGAUUAAGAAAAAACAAGAAACCUAGAUAACGUAUUCCUGGAAAACUUAAUUUCCUAAAAGUACAAUAUUUUUCUCUACCUCAUAAAUAUUAUACAGGAUCAGCCCUUGAAAGUAAAUAAAAUGUAAUUACUAUUGAUGCUUUAUAUGAUGUUCAGCAUCUUUAAAUGAUAAUCCAGGAUUAAAUCUUUGUAUAAACUAAAGUAGUCUGAGUAAUUUCGCCUUAAUUAGUCUGCCUUUUGUUUGUGUAACAACCUAUGCUGAUUUUUUUAAUGCAAGUUAAAUACACGGAGCAAAACAAGCUGCAAGCACACAAGUUUAAGGACGAUUAACACAGCCCUUACAGUGCUUCUCAAUUAUUUUCUAUAUGGAAAGGUCAGUAGAGAAGACUGGAGAGGUCAGUUUGGAAGGGUACGUUACUGUAGCUUGUGUGGAAAACCACAAACCAUGUUGCAGUCUUUAUCAUGGUAAAUUCUUGGUACCACUUUUGGUAAAAUAAAAGGAUACCUGAAGCUUCUCUACUUGCAGUGUAAUCAGUUUUGAGGCAGUAUUUUCAGUUUAGGGCAAGAAAUCACUCAACCAUGUCCCCCUCCAACCUCCACCCACCUUUUUUUUUUUUUUUUUUUUUUUUUUUUUCUUUUUUGGUCACUGUUAAAACUGUAACUAGGUUUUCUGGGAAAGUACAUCAUCCAGUGCUUCCCCAUGUCUUUCCUUGAAGUAUUUCUUUUGUCUGUCUCCGUUACACCCGUGUGCAGUGACACAAUGUUUCUGCACAGUGGGAGCUUGAAAUCUCUGAAGAGGCUUUCCAGCACUGCUUUUUAGACUGAAAUCAUUACAAUCUUCAAUAGGUACUUGGAUUUGAAAAACUAGCACAUUAUUAUUCUCUGGACUGUCUGGAUGUAAAAAGAGGCUAUUUUCUUGCUUCCUUUUAUUUAUUUAUGUCCCUGGGUACACAUUGCCCUUACACCUAACUUUAGUUUGUUUGGAUCUCAAUCGGAGCUGCAAUUCAGAUUCUUGUGCUGUUUGUGUUUUUCUUUCAUGUAAGGUUUUACAUUAUAAAUGAGAACUCUGUCAGAGAGAUUUAUAUUUUGGUUCUACUUAAUGCUUUUGAGUUGCACAUCCUCUUUUGUAUGUGUAAUUAUCAUAGUUAUUAUUAUCACUAACACGGUGCAGCAUAUUGUACGGUAUGUUACAAUAAAUGUUAUGAUGUGUAGCGUAA